Long non-coding RNA from Myotis myotis, 935 nucleotides. RefSeq lists it as uncharacterized. The record is from RefSeq and is a predicted model, not a curated record. The transcript has 2 exons. NCBI's taxonomy places the organism in Eukaryota, Metazoa, Chordata, Mammalia, Chiroptera, Vespertilionidae.
UGGGCCUCAGAUGGCUGGUCCCAGGGAGGCCCACAAAGGAAUCUGGCCACUCCUGGCCAGUGGGCUCAGCGAUCCGGCUGGCUCGGCUGGGGCCCCUCUUCUCCUGCUGCCCCCCGGCCACAACCCCAGAUGAAGUAACGGCAGCACUGGUCUCCACGGCCCAGCCCACAAGGAGCACUGUGUCCCCACAGCACGCCACCGGCCUCCCGGGCGCCUACAAUUAGGAGGAAGAUGCAAAACAGGGGUUUGUGGGAUUGCCCUUAACCCCUGUGGCCUCCCUGGAGGAGGGGGUGCAGUGGGACCGGCCGGAGGAGAGGUGGAAAGGAGGGUGUGAGACGGCACGUCCCCAUGCCCGGCCAUCUUGGAGGCCUGGGGACGGCAGAGGGGCGUCCAGAGGUGGAGACCAAGCACAAGAGACCCAGCGUUUCCUAAUGGGCCACAGCGAGGGCGGAGAGCAAAGAGCCGGGGGUUCCCACCCGGGCACCCAGGACCGCCUGGGGGCACCGCCCCUCUCCAACACCAACAAUUCCGUGGUUCCUUCUAAGAGCCUGUUUUUCAGAAGUGACGAGCCGAUGCUGAUUUUCCUGGGAAUUUACCCAAAACCACAGCCCCUGGCCCCCUGUCCUGCACUGGCUGGGCCAUGCCAGCCGCCUCCGGGCACUUUCAGCGGGUUAAGCCUCGAACUCACCAGGAACUCCGGAGGGUCGGCUCUGGCCUGGCGUUGCAUCUGUGGAUGGAUGCCUUGAGGACAGCAUGAAAAAUAUGGCCGAGGAGUCUCCUCGAGAAAAUGCAAUGACUACGGAUGGGGUCACGUGGGUGCUAGACUUAUGGGGGGUCACUUCGUCAACGACGUGUGUACUCACUGUGGGACACCCGAGCCUCAUGUCAUAUGUCGACUGUGAUAGAAAAAUGAAUAAAGCUUUUCUUUUCUCUCC